RNAcentral lists this ribosomal RNA (478 nucleotides) under uncultured bacterium. Its description in RNAcentral is "partial 16S ribosomal RNA". It matches the Rfam family "Bacterial small subunit ribosomal RNA", at positions 28 to 523 of the family's 1533-position model. The record is from RNAcentral.
GACGAACGCUGGCGGCGUGCUUAACACAUGCAAGUCGAACGGUAAGGCCCUUCGGGGUACACGAGUGGCGAACGGGUGAGUAACACGUGGGUGAUCUGCCCUGCACUUCGGGAUAAGCCUGGGAAACUGGGUCUAAUACCGGAUAGGACCACUGCCUGCAUGGGUGGUGGUGGAAAGCCUUUGCGGUGUGGGAUGGGCCCGCGGCCUAUCAGCUUGUUGGUGGGGUGAUGGCCUACCAAGGCGACGACGGGUAGCCGGCCUGAGAGGGUGACCGGCCACACUGGGACUGAGAUACGGCCCAGACUCCUACGGGAGGCAGCAGUGGGGAAUAUUGCACAAUGGGCGCAAGCCUGAUGCAGCGACGCCGCAUGAGGGAUGACGGCCUUCGGGUUGUAAACCUCUUUCAGCACCGACGAAGCGCAAGUGACGGUAGGUGCAGAAGAAGGACCGGCCAACUACGUGCCAGCAGCCGCCGUAA